AUUGAACGCUGGCGGCAGGCCUAACACAUGCAAGUCGAACGGUAACAGGAAGCAGCUUGCUGCUUUGCUGACGAGUGGCGGACGGGUGAGUAAUGUCUGGGAAACUGCCCGAUGGAGGGGGAUAACUACUGGAAACGGUAGCUAAUACCGCAUAACGUCGCAAGACCAAAGAGGGGGACCUUAGGGCCUCUUGCCAUCGGAUGUGCCCAGAUGGGAUUAGCUAGUAGGUGGGGUAACGGCUCACCUAGGCGACGAUCCCUAGCUGGUCUGAGAGGAUGACCAACCACACUGGAACUGAGACACGGUCCAGACUCCUACGGGAGGCAGCAGUGGGGAAUAUUGCACAAUGGGCGCAAGCCUGAUGCAGCCAUGCCGCGUGUAUGAAGAAGGCCUUCGGGUUGUAAAGUACUUUCAGCGGGGAGGAAGGGAGUAAAGUUAAUACCUUUGCUCAUUGACGUUACCCGCAGAAGAAGCACCGGCUAACUCCGUG
RNAcentral lists this ribosomal RNA (490 nucleotides) under uncultured bacterium. Its description in RNAcentral is "partial 16S ribosomal RNA". It matches the Rfam family "Bacterial small subunit ribosomal RNA", at positions 30 to 507 of the family's 1533-position model. The record is from RNAcentral.